UUUGACCUCGGAUCAGGUAGGGAUACCGCUGAACUUUAAGCAUA
Molecule: ribosomal RNA, 44 nt
Filed under: Akanthomyces lecanii
Lineage: Eukaryota; Fungi; Ascomycota; Sordariomycetes; Hypocreales; Cordycipitaceae
Description: partial 28S ribosomal RNA
Source: RNAcentral